This 461-nucleotide ribosomal RNA is filed under the name uncultured bacterium. RNAcentral describes it as "bacterial SSU rRNA". It matches the Rfam family "Bacterial small subunit ribosomal RNA", at positions 36 to 538 of the family's 1533-position model. The record is from RNAcentral.
CGAACGCUGGCGGCAGGCUUAACACAUGCAAGUCGAGCGGACCUUUCGGGGUCAGCGGCGGACGGGUGAGUAACGCGUGGGAACGUGCCUUCCGGUUCGGAAUAACCCUGGGAAACUAGGGCUAAUACCGGAUACGCCCUUAUGGGGAAAGGUUUACUGCCGGAAGAUCGGCCCGCGUCUGAUUAGCUAGUUGGUGGGGUAACGGCCUACCAAGGCGACGAUCAGUAGCUGGCCUGAGAGGAUGAUCAGCCACACUGGGACUGAGACACGGCCCAGACUCCUACGGGAGGCAGCAGUGGGGAAUUUUGGACAAUGGGCGAAAGCCUGAUCCAGCAAUGCCGCGUGGGUGACGAAGGCCUCGGUUGUAAAGCCGUUUUCUGGAGGAAGAUGAUGACGGUACUCCAGGAAGAAGCACCGGCGUAACUACGUGCCAGCAGCCGCGGUAAUCUGAUGGCGCGAGG